UUAUUAUAGGUAGGAUCCGGCAAGAGAACCAGUUAAGGUGGUAGGCCUUGGUCAGUAGUAGUUAGUUUACAGAGCAGAGGUAAGUAUCUGACUUAGUUGACAGAGCCAGAGCAGAGCCAGUAGUUUAUGAGUGUAAUACCCAACCAGUAGAGUCGUCGGAGUAGUCCAGAGUACAGAGCCAUAAGACAAGCAAGCCGGAUCAGGUAUUUAAUGAAACAACAAACUCAGGUAGACAAAGGCAGUAGACAAAGGAAGACAAGCCCAUCCCCUAUACGCUCUGAACCUAACCAAACUAGUAACUUCAUUCAACCAGAAAAGAAAGCAUGAGACUCCGGAUAGGAAUACAUCCAACAAAGAAGUAUAGCAAUGAAACUCACUAGUAAGAAUGCAAGUGAGCCAGAGGAGAGUUAGAAGAGCCAUAGGGAGAUGAGCCAGAGGGAAAAGAUCCUGUUCGAGUGUAAGUUGCAUCCCCAGUAGCAUCUGUCUUUGUAGCGAGAGGUGAGCUAGUCAGAUAGAGUUAGUUCGGGUCGGGUAGUCGAGAGUACCAUCUUGUUAUGGUAGUACUGGAUAAGUAGACGAAGCUAUCUAAAAUCACGGGAAAACGGAAAAGUUGAUGACUUGAGGACCUCGCCAGGAAGGAAAACUCGUUUGCUACCUUUUUUCACGGGAAAACGCCAAGAUCUCAUUCCAAAUAGGCCAUCUAUUAGGGGAAAUCCGAUUGCUAUCAAAAAAGACGGGAAAACGUCAAAAGAGAAUUCCAAUUGCCGCAUCACAUUUGUAGUUACUUGCCUCAUAGCAAUUAGUACUUUGCCAGUACAACCGGGAUGGGAUUAAGCUCUCACUCUUAUCCUUCUCUAGCUCCUUCUGAUUGAGUUUCUUUCCUUGCCUACCCCCUAACAAGCAAGUCUGUUUACCACCCUAACAAGCUAGUCAGUCAACAACACUACCCGAGUCACAGGCAAUUCUCCAGUGGUCACUACCCACACAAGCAAGUCAGUUUACCACCCGAACAAGAAAGUAAGUGAAACACAAGCCUACCCAACAGAUAAAACAAGGGAAUACCUACCCACACCCGGCACAAGCAAGUAAUUUAACAAGCCAAGCAGCUCUACUCCCUUCCCGCAACAAAGCCUUUACUUGACUUUCUUCUUCUGAAGCACUACUUGGCCUACCUCUGUUUAAGAAUUCCAGUUAGCCGGCAACUCAUAAGUAACAAAAUGAAAAAAGUACUAAUAAUAAUUCCACUCAAGCGGAGGCAGCGAGUUACUUACCCGGGAAACUGUUCCUGCCGCCAUGAGCAAAGCACUUGUGGAGACUUUCCUUAUAGAGAAGUAACGCCGAACCCACUAGACAAGCAGCCUGAAUAAGUAAGGGCAAGUCCUAAAACACAACUGGGCCAACAAACUACUAGAGAGCAUCGGGGGCCAAGCAACGAGACCCCUCUGGUGAACUUUCAUUCUCACUUGACUACUUGGGAGCACUAGCACAAGAAGGGUGUAGUUACCGACCCUAAAGAUAUAGGCUUGAAAUGCAUUCUUUCGCUUCGAUAUAUGUCUUUAGAAGUAUUUCCCAUAAUGGGUGUUUCACAGCUGUUUUAGUGCAUUUAUUAUUAAGAACAUUAGACCUAUCCUUAUCAAUGUUAGCAAUUGCCUGGAAAGCAGGGUUCCACAGUAGCGGUCUUCAACUCGCGAACAAAGGACUUGGUUAUAAAGGAAGGAAUAGUUAUAAUCGAUCAUAACAUACUUCUUAUUGCUGACGCUCUUUUAGCUCGCUACCGUUUUAACUCGCUGCCGUUUAGCCCAGACUCCUACCGCGCCACAUGAGUAGUGGCUUGGUCAUUAGUAGUUGCUUGGCGAUCGGCUUGGUUAGUAGUUACUUGUCCAGUGUCUUGGCGAUGAGAAUGAAUCAGCUGGAUAAUUGCCCGGUGAAAAGAAAUUAGAAAUCACAAAUAAUCCAGAAAACAACUCAUCAUUUUCCAGUACUGACCACAGUAGACGUUAGGAAGGGAAAAUUUGAUGAUAAUUCUAUCUCUUCUU
Molecule: long non-coding RNA, 2036 nt
Filed under: Musa acuminata (dwarf banana)
Lineage: Eukaryota; Viridiplantae; Streptophyta; Magnoliopsida; Zingiberales; Musaceae
Description: long non-coding RNA (MACU_LNC010317)
Source: RNAcentral